RNAcentral lists this long non-coding RNA (226 nucleotides) under Linum usitatissimum (flax). RNAcentral's name for it is "long non-coding RNA (LUSI_LNC002372)". Lineage: Eukaryota; Viridiplantae; Streptophyta; Magnoliopsida; Malpighiales; Linaceae. The record is from RNAcentral.
CCGAAACUUUCCUUUCCCGACUUUCACGGAGAAGCACGCGAUGUGUUGCUGCUGGGACAAUGGUUGCCAACACCGUUUCCUUUCUCACAGCUUUACCUCACAUUCAGGUCCAGGUGGUCUGGAUUCCCGCCAACAGAGGUGCCCAUAAAAUAGCCCAUGUGCUCUUUUGUAUCUCUCGGGUCGUGUGGAGACCAACCUCACGACUUGGGCUAAUGCUUACCUUUGA